Molecule: small RNA, 146 nt
Filed under: pig gut metagenome
Description: M-box riboswitch (ykoK leader)
Rfam family: M-box riboswitch aptamer (ykoK leader)
About the family: M-box riboswitch, also know as ykoK leader is described as a metaloregulatory RNA that sense divalent metals and function as a genetic control element of genes related to divalent metal transport in bacteria. It was first reported upstream of the B.subtilis ykoK gene and genes with related functions in other bacteria.
Source: RNAcentral
UAUUCGGUAGGUAAGGCUACCACAGGGAUACGGAUUACUGCCGCGAAACGGUGGAGACACUGUCAGCAGGUUAACAGGCCAUAUCGAGCAUAAGGUAUGAUUUAAUGUAAUUUCAUCGCCCUGCGAAGCUAAAGCUUGAACGAAUA